This 1650-nucleotide long non-coding RNA is filed under the name Oreochromis niloticus (Nile tilapia). RNAcentral describes it as "lncRNA (ENSONIG00000037019.1)". Lineage: Eukaryota; Metazoa; Chordata; Actinopteri; Cichliformes; Cichlidae. The record is from RNAcentral.
AUGAAGCCAGCUAAGAAGAGGAGGAUGUCCUCCCCUGUGUGGGAACAUUUUGAUUUUAUUCCUCCCAACAAGGUGAAGUGUUUGCUAUGUGCCAGGGAGCUGGGAUAUAACAACAACACCUCAUCCAUGCUCAGGCACUACAGAGCUUUGCAUGAGAAUAAGGGGAACACCGAUUGUGGAGCAAGACCAGGAGAACAAUCUCAAAUAGAUGGAGACCUGGUUAGCAUGGUGAUUGAGGACUCCCAGCCAUUUAGCAUCGUGGAGGACAAAGGAUUUAAAAGAUUUGUUAAAUCAUUAAAUCCUAGCUAUGUUCUCCCCACUGAAAAGGUCAUAAAAGCAGUGAAAAUUUAGUUUUUACAGAAUAAAAUGUGAACAGGCAGGACUGAGGCUCAAAGCCUCAGUGUGUAGCUGUCCAUACCUCAACGUUACAAAAGCACAACCACUGUCCACACCCCAACCACACCUCACCUCACAGUAAAUGAUCAUUUCCAUUUUAAGCAUUUCCAAAUAAUCAUUUUCCAUACUGCCAGCAUAAAUAUACACAGCAUACUCCCAUCACUACAAUAUACAUGUUUUACACACUCCUUUUGUUGUUGACAUUUACAGGCUGUGUGCAAAAUGCCACACUCUUCAAAUUCAUGCCAACUAAUAUUUUUACGUCCAGUAGAUGUCCUACUAGAGCGAAUGAAGCUUCAAGAAGCUUUGCGCUGGGGUGAACCAAUUGGAUGAAAAGCUUCAGUGCUUCAUGAAGCUUCAUCUGCCCAUCACUAUUUUAAAGCAAACACUACUAACCAUCAGAUCAUCUGAAUUUUCUUCUGUUUACAUGCAAAUGUCUGGUAAAUUCUGUUUCUUUAUGUUGCUUUGGUUAUACUUACCAUGGUGUCCAUGUUGUGUAUUCAGGUCCUAUAUGUGAGACAGAUGUAUGGAAAGGGCCGCCCACUACUUCCUGUUUAUAUAGGGUCAUGAGGUCAAUGAUUGCAUCACUGGGUGUAACCAAAUGGAGGGUUUUUCAUUUUGUAUAGUAUUGUUUGUUUUCUUUAAAUUAGCCUUUUGGGUUAUAUUGUAUGCAGUGUUUUACUUUACAAACCAUUUAGCUGAGUAAAUGAGUUUGUCAGUUUCAUGCAUGACCUUAUUCCUGUUCUUUGUUUAGAAUUGUAUUGUUUGGUUUGACCUAUUCGUUUCAAUGGUAGGGACUAACGAGGUCAGGUGUGGGCAAAGUCCUGUAUAAAGCAAGUGGGAUUUUUGCAUGCCUGAUUGAUUGUUUUAUGGUAAAAUGGAGAUGCCAGCAAUAAAGUAUGCUUAAAAGAACUUCAAUCGUCUGCUAAUGCUAUUUACUAGUGAUGGCCAAAUGAAGCUUUCUGAAGCACUGAAGCUUGUAUUGAAAAACGGUUCAUUACUCAAAGCUUUUCAACACAGUCCUCUCUGGUGACAUCAUGUGGCCAAAAAUAUGAAGAGCAGCUUGAAUCCACAAAAUAAAACCAACUGCUUCAUAAUGAUUGCUCACUCUACAGAGUGGAAUUCUGUCUGAUAUUGGGCUGCUGUUGUGUUGCUUUGAGCGCGUAUUUUUUGGUGUUAAAAAAUGUAGUUUAUUUGUUUAAUAAAUAAUUUUGACCAGUAAACCUUCCUUGUUUAAACAUGCUCCAUGGUGUG